CCUAGCUCAGAUAUCAGGAGACCCCAAAAUGUCAGAAAUUCAAAAGAGAGUGGUCAUGGGAACUGCCCAUAUCUUACGGUAAAUACUGCUUAUGUAAUCUCAAAUUUUAAAACUAACUCAUAAUUUUGUUAAGGUAUUUUCAAG
Long non-coding RNA from Octopus sinensis (East Asian common octopus), 144 nucleotides. RefSeq lists it as uncharacterized. Lineage: Eukaryota; Metazoa; Mollusca; Cephalopoda; Octopoda; Octopodidae. The record is from RefSeq and is a predicted model, not a curated record. The transcript is spliced from 4 exons.